GAUGAAGAACGUAGCGAAAUGCGAUAAGUAGUGUGAAUUGCAGAAUUCAGUGAAUCAUCGAAUCUUCGAACGCACAUUGCGCCCCUCGGUAUUCCGUGGGGCAUGCCUGUUCGAGCGUCAUUUAACCCCUCAAGCCUAGCUUGGUAUUGGGUGCUUGUCCCGCCUCUCGCGCGGCGACUCACCUCAAAGUCAUUGGCAGCCCGCAUCUCGCCGGCCGUGAGCGCAGCACAGACGCGCUCUUGGCAACGACGGAUCGGCUCUCCAAAAGCUUAUUUCAACCACUGACCUCGGAUCAGGUAGGGAUACCCGCUGAACUUAAGCAUAUCAAUAAGCGGAGGA
RNAcentral lists this unclassified non-coding RNA (339 nucleotides) under soil metagenome. Its description in RNAcentral is "partial contains 5.8S ribosomal RNA, internal transcribed spacer 2, and large subunit ribosomal RNA". The stretch from base 1 to 120 matches the Rfam family "5.8S ribosomal RNA", at positions 35 to 154 of the family's 154-position model. The record is from RNAcentral.